Amphiprion ocellaris (clown anemonefish) is the source of this 1095-nucleotide long non-coding RNA. The record is from Ensembl. NCBI's taxonomy places the organism in Eukaryota, Metazoa, Chordata, Actinopteri, Pomacentridae.
UACACACAGAGCAGACACUUAAGUAAAAAGACAAUUUAUUUGUUAAUCAGAAUAUACAAAGCAGUGGCUGAAGUAACCGAAUGUCAUUCUGGUUCUGAAAAAGGCAGUCUUGUACACAAAACUGGGCUACCCAACCAUAACAUAAAACUCGUUGAAAAUGUAAGAAAAACAAAAGUAUAAAUGGUACAAACUUGCGUGGAAUGCAUACAGAACAAAUGACCAAAGCCUUAAGAUUUAAGAGGGGUUAAUUAACAUUGCAAAAUCCUGCCUCCACAGAACGAGGUCAAACAAUCUUACCAUGGAGGUGCACAACAGAGCCCCUUUAUUCAUUUGCACCAUCUGUUAACAGGGCAGCCAAGGAUUAAGUAGCAGCUCAACACAAAAAAUUACGCCUCAACUAAUAAUGCUAACAACUGUCAUUUAUCCCCCACUUAAAACUUAUCUUUGGUCCUUUAAGUGUGUCUGAGAGGUCAACAUGAGCCUUGGAGGUGAGCAGCUGCCUGUAUGUAUGAAUCAUCUGGUCAGCACUGACAUAAUAGAGAUUGUGCUUCUAAAAUACCGAUACAAAACCUCAGGAAAUGAAAAAACUGAUCUCACGGUGUGGCCCAAUUUGUACAAGUAGAAAAAAAGCUCAUUUUAAAGACCAAUAAAUAACAUUUCAUUUAAAAAAAAAAGGAUGCAGGGCCACUAUGUUUCAAGACUCCAGUGCAAUGUGGUAACAUGGGAGCAAACAAAAAAAAUUGAAAUCUCUCUCAAAGAUACAGAAAGCACAAGCUCUACAGCACAAUGUUGACCAGGCUGGUAAGACAGUGCUGCAAACAGGUUAGCAGGGCAGGGAACUAAGCCUCCACUUCUGCCUCUUUUGAAUCUCCAUUCUCCUCUGUCUUCUGCUUUUUUGUCUCCACCUUUUCCUUUAAAAAAUAAAAACAAUCAUUACCAAAUUAUCCUACAAACAUUAAAUAUGAGGAAUUAAAAUUGCACACUUCUGCAUGACAACCCACCUCCUCCUCUUCAGCUGCACGCUUCGCAGGCUGUGCAUCGGUCUCCUCAGCAGGGGGCGCCUCCUCUGCUUUCCCUAUAAGGACAGUUUGCCAC